AAGCUCGUAGUUGAAUUUCGGGGUUAGUAGGUUGGUCAUGCCUCUGGUAUGUACUGGUCUCACUGAUUCCUCCUUCCUUAUGAACCGUAAUGCCAUUAAUUUGGUGUUGCGGGGGAAUUUGGACUGUUACUUUGAAAAACUUAGAGUGUUUAAAGCAAGCUAACGCUUGAAUACAUUAGCAUGGAAUAAUGAAAUAGGACGUUCGAUCUUAUUUUGUUUGGUUUUCUUAGGUAUUGACGUAAUGAUUAAUAGGGUAUAGUUGGGU
Molecule: ribosomal RNA, 265 nt
Filed under: uncultured Glomus
Lineage: Eukaryota; Fungi; Glomeromycota; Glomeromycetes; Glomerales; Glomeraceae
Description: partial 18S ribosomal RNA
Rfam family: Eukaryotic small subunit ribosomal RNA
Source: RNAcentral